AAGCAGGGACCUGGUGUGACCCUCGUGUGAGAGUGAGCUUCAGCAAUGCUGUAAAAAUACUUUAUGUUGCCACAGACAUCUGAAUUGGUAAAAUGGCAGCCCAUGAAGCUUCCCAUCACCAACAGCAGGCAGCACAGAACAGCUUGCUGCCCCUCCUGAGCCCUGCCGUGGAGCCCCCUGAUCAGAAACCAUUGCUUCCAAUACCAAUAACUCAGAAACCUCAGGGUGCACCAGAAACAUUAAAGGAUGCCAUUGGGAUUAA
Molecule: long non-coding RNA, 262 nt
Organism: Cebus imitator (Panamanian white-faced capuchin)
Lineage: Eukaryota; Metazoa; Chordata; Mammalia; Primates; Cebidae
Exons: 2
Source: RefSeq, a predicted model, not a curated record